This 253-nucleotide ribosomal RNA is filed under the name uncultured bacterium. Its description in RNAcentral is "partial 16S ribosomal RNA". It matches the Rfam family "Bacterial small subunit ribosomal RNA", at positions 524 to 776 of the family's 1533-position model. The record is from RNAcentral.
GACGAAGGAUGCAAGCGUUAUCCGGAUUCAUUGGGUUUAAAGGGUGCGCAGGCGGCUUUGUAAGUCAGUGGUGAAAUCUCCGGGCUUAACCCGGAAACUGCCAUUGAUACUGCAGAGCUUGAGUACAGAUGAUGUUGGCGGAAUAUGACAUGUAGCGGUGAAAUGCUUAGAUAUGUCAUAGAACACCGAUUGCGAAGGCAGCUGACAAAACUGUAACUGACGCUCAUGCACGAAAGUGUGGGGAUCAAACAGG